CCUUCUGGGCUGAGGAUCGGCGUGCACUAAGGCGCUGAUAUUCCGAAGGGAGAAACCGCCGCAUCCCUGGAGAUGGCGGGGGAGGGGGUGGCCCGGAAACUGGCCAAGCCUUCCCCUCGGUCUCAGGAUUGACCGAGCCUUGUUUCCUGAGUCCAGCUGACAGUUCACCAUAGAAUACCUGUCUUGGUAUUUGCUGUGGGUCCAUGCAGAUGACGUGUCCAGACCAUCGUAGCUGGGUUUUGAGGACCAUGACUUCGAUGCUGGUGGAGUUGGCUCUGUCGAGGACUUCCUGAUUGGUGAUUCUGUCCUGCCAUCAGAUCCUCAUGAUUGACCGGAGAGAGCGUUCGUGGAAUUGCUCCAGCUGUUUCAUGUGCUUCCGGUAUAGUGUCCAUGUCUCACAACCUUACAGGAGCAAGCUGAGGACAACUGCAUAAUACACUUUGAGGUUCGUUGCAGUGCUUACACCUCUGUGCUGGAAGACUUUAGAGUGCAGCCGCCCGAGUGCCUGGCUGGCCUUUUGGAUCCUGGCAUUGAUCUCAUGGUCUAGGGACCCGUCGUUGCCGAUGGUGCUGUCCAGGUACUUGAAAGUGUUGACAUUACAAAGCUGCAUGCCAUUGAUUGUAAUGCACGUAGUUGGCCUCCCUGGUGCAGGUUGGUACAGCACCUCUGUUUUGUUGAGGCUGAUAGUCAGGCGAAACAAUUUUGUUGCGGUGGAGAACUUGUCCACAAUGGUUUGAAGAUGAUUUUCUUGGUGGGCCACGAGAGCACAGUUAUCUGCGAAGAGAGUUUCCAGGAUGAGUCUCUCUGUUGUCUUUGUUUUUGCGGUCAGGCGGCAAAGGUCAAAUAGUGAGCCAUCCAGUCGGUAUUUGAUGUAGAAGCCCAGGUCUAGAUCCAUCACAUCAUGUCGUAAUACUUGGGUGAAAAAUAGGUUGAAUAGCACCUGAGCAAGGAUGCAGCCUUGUUUCACGCAAUUGGAGAUGUUGAAGCGAUCGGAAGUCUCUCCAUCAGACAGGACUUCCCCUGUCAUGUCGACAUGAAAGAACUGGAUCAGUUUGACGAAUUUUGCUGGGCAACCGAGCUUGCUGAGGAUCACCCACAAUGCUUACCUGUUCACUGUGUAAAACGCCUUAGUUAGGUCUAUGAAGACAAUGUAGAGACUCAGGUUCUGCUCAAGGCAUUUUUCCUGCAUUUGCCUCACCGUGAAGACCAUGUCGAUCUGGUUGGAAGGCGCAUUGUGAUUCAGGCAGGUUCUGCUCUGAGACAGAUGACAGAAGUCUUUUGAAUAUAACACGGGCGAGGAUCUUUCCAGCAGUGGAAAGUAGUGAGAUGCCUCUGUAGUUGUCAUAGGCUGCUUGUGCGCCUUUGUUCUUGUAUAGGGCUACGAUGGAGGCAUCUCUGAGUUCUGAGGGCAUGUCUUCCUCUUCCCAUAUGCUGGUCAACACUAUAUGGAAUGCCUGAAGAACCUUUCCCUUUAGGGCCUUGUACACCUCGGUUGGGAUCCCGUCUUUACUGGGUACCUUGCCUGCACUCAUUUGUUUAAUGGCUUUUUGGACUUCUUCUAAUGAAAGAGGGAUGUCAAGUUGCUUGAUGAUGCGGUUUUGGGGGAUCUGAUCAAGGGCCCUUUGGUCGACUGAGGAGAGUAAGUUGAAGAGCUGACUGAAGUGUUCUUUCCACCUGUUGCUGAUGCCUUUUUUGUCUUUUAUGAGAGUGUCACUGUCAGAGGAUAGCAAGGGGGUGGUGGUGGAUUUUAAUGGCCCAUAGACAGUCUUGAGGGCACUGAAAAAUUGUUUAUAGUUUUUCGUGUCAGCAAAGCCCUGGAUUUCUUCUACCUUGUUUUCCCCACCAUCCGUCUUGCAUUUUCCUGAUCUCACACUACGCCGUGGCUUGGAGAGACUUGAAUCUGUCCUUUUUAGGAUCAGAGUUUGGGUUAUUUUGCCACUCUAUAAAGGCUUUGUUCUUUUUGUUCAACAGGUCUUCAAUAGCAGUGUUGUUCUCAUUGAACAAGUCCUGCUGGUUGCGUUGUUUGGGGCCUAGGACUGCCUUUGAUGUUUCCGUCACCGUGUCUCUGAACUGGUUCCAUUUCUCAGUUGGGCUUCCAGUGAGUGGUCCCUUGGCAGACAGUUUGUCGUCCAGACAGGACUGGAAUGUUUGCAGAUAAAAUGGAUCUCUGAGACAACUCACGUUGCAAGAUGUGUGAAUUGUCUGGGCGCAUUUUGGAUGGCGAGGCGCAAUGCGUAUUUGAAGAGUCACUCUAACCAAUCGGUGGUCUUUCCAGCAUUCAGCUCCUCUCAUGGCUCUGUUGAUCUGUACAUCCUGAAUGAAUUGCCGGCAUACAAUGAUGUAGUCAAUGAGAUGCCACUGUUUUGAUCGUGGAUGCAUUCACGUUGUUUUGUAUUUGUUUGCCAUUCUGAACGCAGUGUUCGUGAUGGUGAGUUCGAACUCUGAGCAUUUGCUGAGUAGCAGUAGGCCGUUGUACAUUUAGCCCACGCCGUGUUUGCUGAGCACUCCUUUCCAUCUUUCAUGGUCCUGGCCAACACGGGCUGUUGUAGUGAAAAUUUCACCUUUUAAGAUUGUUAUAAUAUUGAACAAUGGCCGCCAAGGAAUUUACUUAUGAAAUUCCUAAAAUGAAGCACUCAAGUCAGAAUGGAGUUUAUGGAGGUUUAAUCACAAUGGGAGUAGGGAAAAGGAGAGGGAGAGAAGGAGAGAGAAGAAAAGGGAAAGGGGUUACUCAACCUCUGACCAAGGCAGAGGGAGAUUAGGCCCAAAGGGCCAAGGUGGAAAGGAAUCAGUCCUUGACUCACGUGACCGAUCUGAAGGGAAGCUGUCUGUGGGCCUCCUCCCAGUUCAAGCUCCUAACACGAACUGCUGUCUCGCCCUGUCCACAGGAAGUGAGCAAAUUCCCGAGGCUGCUCUCUCCGUCACUUCCUGUGCUUCACAAGUGCCAAUGGUGGCUCAAGCUUGGCUUAGGACAGCCCAGGUGGGCAGUUAGUUAUUUCUGAUUUGUCAUUGACUAGCACAUGCCCGUGUAGUGUGGGUGUGCACAAUUUUUGGGUGCUAGACCAAGAUGGAGAUUUUAAAAUUCACAAUCCCCCCGAUGAUGAUUGGGGGACUAGUCUCCCCAAUUGUUCACUAAACAUAAGCGUACUGCACCCAAAAAAAUUCUAACUGUAAGUGUAUACAAAAUGUUUACCCACUAAGAGGAAAACUAUAAUAGUUGUAGAUAUGGGGAAAUAGAGGAGAGAGAAAGACAGCAAACCAAUAUUUUGCUGGGCGCAUUGACAAAAACCAAUUAGGGGGCAGUCCCCUUUGGCAUAAGAGUAUACAUUCAAAAAAUGUUCAAUCAACCACACCCCAAGGUUCAUUCUGAAUCUUCCUGUAGUGAAAAGGUUUAGAUAUCUUUCUGCAAACAGUUCAUUCUCUGGAUUCAGUUAGUUGGCAAGCUUCUUUUCUGAAGAUCUAUCUCGAACAAAAUUUAAAUUUUGGAUUUUAUGAAAUACAAUCCCCCCUGAAGAAAGUGUUGAAAAAAAAAACACUGAGUCCAGCUAAGGAUGCAAGGUUUAGUUGUGGGGGUGUGUGAGUUAAUCCAAAAGGAAAACAAAACAAAAUGAAAACAAAAUAAAAAAAAAACAAAGAAGAAAAAGGGAAAAAAUUAAGGGGAAAAUAUAGACCCUUUAUAUAUACAUAUAUUUAUAUUAAAAAAGAAUUCAAAAUCAGUAUCAAAAUAUCAAAAAAAUCUAUGUAUACAAGAUUUUGAGAAAGCAAAAAUAAAAAAAAAUUAUCUUUUUCCACAGGCCCCUGUAUUAGAGUCCAGUUAAGUAAUUUCUAAUCCCACAAGUCUGUAGGACAGAAUGCAGCAAAUUUCCCUUACCCAUUUGCAGCCAAGGCUACAGGAAGUUGCCAUACUAUAAGAGAGGAAAAGGACCAUACCUUUAUUUAUACUCUUCAGCUCACUAUUUUACUUCUACCAGAAUGAUAUAUAGAUUUCUUGAUUAUAUUCUUAACCCAAGAUGAAUUUUACUUUGUUUUAAAAAAUGUUUAUUACCAAGGUUGAAAGAUUGCUAUGUUUGUAAAAACUUGUGACAAAUAUCCAUCAAUUCAUAGGUUUUAAAAUUGCCAUGCAGCAACUUAUGUGAAAUAUGAAAGUGUGUUUGUUUGCUAUUGUAAUUAAUUGGGCUAUUGAGAAUUUUGGGGAUAUUGAUAUCUACAUAUUUCUACUACUGUAUUUUUAAAAAUGAAAAAGUUUUUACCUUGUUCAAUUCAUUUGCCUUCUACUCACAGUGAGCAUGGCCAGAUACAAAGAGGAAAUGGAUCUCAUUUUUGGUAAGAAAGCCUUGUAUGCUAUAUUUUCUUAGCUUACAGAAAAUGUCAAUGAGUAUAAGCUAUAUUUGUGAAUUUUUAAAGCUCUUUUUAUUAUAUUUUCCUUGCAUGUGCAAUAUACUAUUUGUUUUUUUUUUAUUUUUUCUCUCCUUUUUAUAUUUGAAGCACAUGUCACCAGCAUUAAGAUUUUCUUUAACCUUUUGAUUUUUCAGUAAGAUACAUUUGCUAAUGCAUACCCAAAAAGCUUGUGACUAUAAAAACGAUGCUACUAAUUAUUUAAAUAAAUUAUGGGACUUUGCUUAAUGAUUCUGUCUGAUUCCAGGACAAGAGAUACACACAAGAGCCAUUGCACAGAGCCAAAGAAAAGCCAAUCCAGGAUGGAUUGAUGCACUUCUAGGCCACUACAAAGGUUUUGAACCUAGUGUGAGACUUGGGGUUGCGACACUUGACUUAUGUUAAGAUGUAGGCCUUCCUUGUGCCCACACUCACUCUGAAGAUACUCACAGACUAGUAUCCCCAAACUUGGCUCCUACUUGGCUCCUAUAAUCUGGUCCCUUUCUUUUCUGUCUUUCAUAGUGUGGUACCUUUCUGUAGUGCUGGCUACUGACUGGGUAAAUGCAUCAUUGCUUCGAUCAUUUUGAUUGGGCCCUGAUUCAAGGACCUGUUAUAGAUUUAUUUUUCUUUUACUUGGAAUUUUUACACAUAAGACUUUGAUAGUCUAUAUUUUCAUCCAGAAAUUUUUUUCUUUUCUUUUUGAUUUUUCUGAUAUCCUUUUAAUUUCUCUUGCCAAUUGAUUCAUAUACCUCAUACCUCAGCCAUGCAUCCCUAUGUGAUUCUGUAUUUGUCAAUCACCCUCUUAACGGGGGGAAUGUAAAAAUAUCAUUAUUUAAAUUGCAAAGUUUAAAUUCUUUUUUUUUUAAACCCUUACCUUCCGUCUUGGAGUCAAUACUGUAUAUUGGCUCCAAGGCAGAAGAGUGGUAAGGGCUAGGCAAUGGGGGUCAAGUGACUUGCCCAAGGUCACACAGCUAGGAAGUGGCUGAGGCCAGAUUUGAACCUAGGACCUCCUGUCUCUAGGCCUGGUUCUCAAUCCACUGAGCUACCCAGCUGCCCCCUUAAAUUAUUUUUGAGAAGAAUUUUAGGUAAAGAAGAUGCUACCUCUCUGAAUCCAGAACUGAACUGUUGGAGAAGCCACCAUGAAGAAGCCUCCAGACCACAAGCUGCACAAAAAUGAACUUUGGGUGUAGUUGAUUGAACAUUUAUUUGUAUGUAUACUUUUGUGCCAAAGGGGACUUCCCCCUAACUGGCUUUUUGUCAAUGCGUUUCAGCAAUUAUUGGUUUUAUUCUUUUUUUUCUCUUAUCCUCAAAUUAUUGUAAUCUUUAAAUUGAUUAUGUUUUCAUGAUCCUUUGGAAAAAAAAUUAAUUUUUUUUCAAACGCUCAAACAGGGGAAUGUAAAAAAAUAGACUCGAAUACAGGACUACAAUCCCCACAAUUCCUUGCUCCACUUCCCCAGAAUGCUUUGUAAUCUCACCUGGGCCAAGAUUGAGAAGGUAUUUAACCUGAUUGAAAAAAGCUUUUGCUCUCUUUUGGACUUCCAUUUUGGGGCAGAUGUGGCUCUUUCCAUAAUGUAGGUGAGGUCUUGUCUAGGCCUCUGGCUUAGGCAUGUGUUUUUUCUUACUUGUAUAUUCUUAAAUUCUCAACCUUUAAUAAACCUUAUAAAAUAUAA
This is a long non-coding RNA of Monodelphis domestica (gray short-tailed opossum), 6041 nucleotides long. RefSeq lists it as uncharacterized. NCBI's taxonomy places the organism in Eukaryota, Metazoa, Chordata, Mammalia, Didelphimorphia, Didelphidae. The record is from RefSeq and is a predicted model, not a curated record.